GUCGAACGCUGGCGGCGGGCUUAACACAUGCAAGUCGAGCGGAUAAGGGCUGCUUUUGCCUGGAUUCAGCGUCGCACGCGUGUGUAAUACCUAUGAGUCUCCCUGGUAGGGGGGGGUAACAUCUGGAGACGAGCGCUAAUAAUGCAUACGUCCUGCUCGAGAAGCAUGGGGGUCGUCGGACCGCACGCGAUCAGAUGAGCCUAGGUCGGAUUAGCUAGUUGGUGGGGUAAAGGCCUACCAAGGCGGGGAUCCGUAACUGGACUGAGAGGAUGAUCAGUCACACUGGAACUGAGACACGGUCCAGGCUCCUACGGGAGGCAGCAGUGGGGAAUAUUGGACAGUGGGCGAAAGCCUGAUCCAGCGAUGCCGCGUGUGUGAAGAAGGUCUUCGGAUUGUAAAGCACUUUAAGUUGGGAUGAAGGGCAGUAAGUUAAUACCUUGCUGUUUUGACGUUACCAACAGAAGAAGCACCGGCUAACUACGUG
RNAcentral lists this ribosomal RNA (484 nucleotides) under uncultured bacterium. RNAcentral's name for it is "partial 16S ribosomal RNA". It matches the Rfam family "Bacterial small subunit ribosomal RNA", at positions 28 to 507 of the family's 1533-position model. The record is from RNAcentral.